Molecule: ribosomal RNA, 678 nt
Filed under: Triticum aestivum (bread wheat)
Lineage: Eukaryota; Viridiplantae; Streptophyta; Magnoliopsida; Poales; Poaceae
Description: partial small subunit ribosomal RNA
Source: RNAcentral
AUGACCGGCGGAGGUGGUUCGUCGGCCGGAGCAAAAGACGCCCUCGACUCGCUGGAUGUUGGAGGAAGCAGCAGCGAGCCAAAGCCCUUCCUCCAUCGACCUGAUCAUGCGCGGACGCCGGCAUACGAGGAAUACAAUUAUGAUUAUCCGUGCAGUCUAGGCAUAAAUCAUGGUGGUUUCUUUGUUGGCCAAGGUAGCUACAGGAGUUACUGCAAUGGAAAAACUGCUUGGUAUGAUUAUGUGCCGUCUGCGACACUGACCAUGUCUGAAUUGGAAAGGAUAGUUGAAGAUCUAGGCUAUGAGAUGGCAGGUAGAUUGGAUGUAUAUUGGUGUUUGCCAGGGUUGCAAAUUAAGACUGGUGGUCUUAGGAAAAUGAAUUCCCAGGAAGCUUGUGACAAUAUUAGUGCUUGUGUAGUUUUUGGACAUAAAGAAAUUCAGUUAUUCCUUGACCAUGAUGAGAGCUACAGGAGUAUCGAAUGGGAUGAUGUUGUGGUCUUUCCUGUCAAUGAUUUACCUCAUGUGAUCAGUCCUAGGAAAGUAAAAGAGGAGAAAUUUGCAGAGAGAAUGUCUGAACAAAAUAUGGCAGAGGAGCAAGGUGAUGACAAUGCAGAGGAGGCUGGGCAGAACAUGGAAGAGGGGCAAGGUGAUGAGCAAUUCAAUGAGGAAGAAAUUGAGUAG